UUUAAGUGAAGUUUGAUCAUGGCUCCAGGUGAACGCUGGCGGCAGGCCUAUGGCACAUGCAAGUCGAACGGUAACAGAAGGAAGCAGCUUGCUGCUUUGCUGACGCCGAGUGGCGGACGGGUGAGUAAUGUCUGGGAGGCUUGCCCUGCCUGAUGGAGGGAUAACUACCUGGAAGCGGUGGUAACCACCGCAUAACGUCCCUUAAGACCAAGAGGGGGACCUUCGGGCCUCUUGCCAUCCAGAUGUGCCCAGAUGGGGUUAAGCGUUGGUGGUAACUGGCUCACCAAGGCGACGAUCUAGCUGGUCUGAGGAGGGAUGACAAGCCACACUGGAACUGAGACACGGUCGAACUCCUACGGGGAGGCAGCAGUGGGGAAAUAUUGCACAAUGGGCGCAAGCCUGAUGCGCCAUGCCGCGUGUAUGAAGAAGGCCUUCGGGUUGCAGCAAAAGUACUUUAGCGGGGAGGAAGGUAUUUGUGGUUAAUAACGCGGCGAGUGACGUUACCCGCAGAAGAAGCACCGGCUAACUCCGUGCCAGCAGCCGCGGUAAUACGGAGGUGCAAAGCGUUAAUCAGAUUACUGGGCGUAAAGCGCACGCGAGCGGUCUGUCAAGUCGGAUGUGUAAUCCCGGGCUCCAACCUGGGGCUGCAUUCGAAACUGGCGAGGCUUGAGGUGUAGAGGGGGUAGAAUUCGGUGUAGCGGUGAAAUGCGUGAAUCACGGAGGAGUACCGGUGUGGCGAAGGCGGCCGGACAUCGCGGCGCUCAGGUGCGAAAGCGUGGGGAGCAAACAGGAUUGGAAUGCCGCGGUAAAUUACGCCGUAAACGGUAAUACUUGGAAGGUUGUGCCCGCUGAAGCGUGGCUUCAGGCUGGCACGCGUUAAAGUAGACCGCACAGGGAGUACGGCCGCAGGUUAAACUCCGCAGAAAAUAAUUGACGGGGGCCCGCACAAGCGGUGGAGCAUGUGGUUUGGUGGUACGCGCGAAGAACCUUACACAGUGCUUGACAUCCACGGAAGAAGAAUUCAGAGAUAGUUGUGCCUUCGGGAACCUGAGACAGGUGCUGCAUGGCUGUCGUCAGCUCGUGUUUGUGAGAAAUGUUGGGUUAGAGGGCGUCGCAACGGAAACUUGUACCCUCCUUUGUUGCCAGCGGUCCGGCCGGGAACUCAAAGGGAGCUGCCAGUGAUAAACUGGAGGAAGGUGGGGAUGACGUCAAGUCAUCAUGGCCUACGACGAGGGGGCUACACACAAUGCUACAAUGGCGCAUACAAGAGAAGCGACACUCGCGCGAGAGCAAGCGGACCUCAUAAAGUGCAUCGUAGUCGGAUUGAGUCUGCAACUCGACUCCAUGAAGUCGGAAUCGCUGGUAAUCACGUGGAUCAGAAUGCCACGGUGAAUACGUUCCCCAGACGCGUACACACCGCCCGUCACACCAUGGGAGUGGGUUGCAAAAGAAGUAGGUAAAGCAACCUUCGGGAGGGCGCUUACCACUUUGUGAUUCAUGACUGGGGGUGAGAGAUCGUAACAAGGUAACCGUAGGGGAACCUGCGGUUGGAUCCGCCUCCUU
RNAcentral lists this ribosomal RNA (1563 nucleotides) under Salmonella enterica subsp. enterica. Its description in RNAcentral is "16S ribosomal RNA". It matches the Rfam family "Bacterial small subunit ribosomal RNA". Lineage: Bacteria; Pseudomonadati; Pseudomonadota; Gammaproteobacteria; Enterobacterales; Enterobacteriaceae. The record is from RNAcentral.